This 434-nucleotide ribosomal RNA is filed under the name uncultured bacterium. RNAcentral's name for it is "partial 16S ribosomal RNA". It matches the Rfam family "Bacterial small subunit ribosomal RNA", at positions 28 to 506 of the family's 1533-position model. The record is from RNAcentral.
GAUGAACGCUGGCGGUAUGCUUAGCACAUGCAAGUCGAACGGACUCUUCGGAGUUAGUGGCGGACGGGUGAGUAACGCGUGAGAAUCUGGCUUUGGGUUCGGGACAACCACUGGAAACGGUGGCUAAUACCGGAUGUGCCGAGAGGUAAAAGAGAAAUUGCCUGAAGAUGAGCUCGCGUCUGAUUAGCUAGUUGGUGAGGUAAAGGCUCACCAAGGCAGCGAUCAGUAGCUGGUCUGAGAGGAUGACCAGCCACACUGGGACUGAGACACGGCCCAGACUCCUACGGGAGGCAGCAGUGGGGAAUUUUCCGCAAUGGGCGAAAGCCUGACGGAGCAAUACCGCGUGAGGGAAGAAGGCUCUUGGGUUGUAAACCUCUUUUCUUAGGGAAGAACAAAAUGACGGUACCGAAGGAAUCAGCAUCGGCGAACUCCGU